GUAGAUCACUUAAGAUAUGAAGAAGUGAUUGAUACCAUUUUCCAGAGACAAAUAUGAGUUGAUCUUCCCAAAAUGGCAUCACUAGCACCUACCACACAAUUUCACUAAUUUUGUUUUUCUUUCUUCAUGAAGUUGUGCACCAGAGACUUCUAGGUAGAGCUGAGAGACAAUAGUCCCGACAUACUAAGGAAUAUAUCCCCCCAAAAAAGCUGGUGCAAAUAUAUUUCUCCUUGGCUUUUCAGCACACUGACAAAUACUAUCAGCUGCCUGAAAUUCCCACCAUGCCUGGGAACCACUCCACUCCUCCAAGUCUUUCUGAAUCUGUUGUCACCAGGAAGCUACAUAAUCAUUUUCUAAACAUGAGACUUCAUCACCCAAGGAUGAAAACAGAAGCCAUAGUUCAGAGUCUGCUGCACCAGCCUGUUCAAAAUUACCUCCCCCUCCAACUUUCCACAGGUCUAAAAAGUCCUAAAACGCUUAAAUCUUUUCAAGAAUAAGGCAGAAUAUAAAGUAAAUGCAAACUUGGUGCUUUGGGCUGUGGUCUCCAAAGAUCUUGCAAGAACCCCCCCACCCUGCCAAGCCAGUCUCAUCCUUUCACCUUACUUAAAACAGAGACAUAGGACCCAGCAUGCAUUGCAAACACACCAACGCUUGUAGCCAGGGCAGACAUUGCUAAUCAAUCACAGCACAUCUUCCAAAGAGCCCAGGAUUCCCUCAGAAUCUUCAGACCAUAAGUCUGAAGAGCCACCAAUCAUCAGUUAAAAUUGAAAGAUAAAUGAUCCUUAAUUGCCAUCUCAACUUUAGAAAGCAAAAGUAAACAAGGAUUGUGUGGGGGGAUGGGGAAAAUAGAUCUAGGCAGAGUGCCUUAUUGGGGGACUACAGGCACUAAACGCAUUGCUGACACCAAACUGACGCUUCCCCAGGCAUACCUUGGGCCCUCCCUUCUUCCAGGUGUCAGAAUGUCGCAGCAACCUGCAGUGACAUUGCUGGACUCCAGAGACCCAUUCCAUAGGCAAAAGGGUUUCCCAGGCUCACAGCCCAGAGGCGUUGAGCCCCUGGCCACUGUUUUGACUGCUGGCGGUACAAAACAGUCCACCCCACACCACUGCCGCCUGGCUCACUGCGGCCAUCAAAAAGUUAAAGCCAAGAUGUUAACAUUGUGCAUCAAGACGGCAGGCAUAAGGUGAGAAUGUAACAUUCAAGAUCUCAACCAUACAUCAAUCAGAAGCCCCUGUGCAGUUUCCAAGAUGUUGUUUUG
This 1258-nucleotide long non-coding RNA is filed under the name Capra hircus (goat). Its description in RNAcentral is "lncRNA (ENSCHIG00010007384.1)". The record is from RNAcentral. Lineage: Eukaryota; Metazoa; Chordata; Mammalia; Artiodactyla; Bovidae.